ACGCACGCUGGCGGCGUGCUUAACCCCUGCAAGUCGAACGGAAAGGCCCUGCUUUUGUGGGGUGCUCGAGUGGCGAACGGGUGAGUAACACGUGAGUAACCUGCCCUUGACUUUGGGAUAACUUCAGGAAACUGGGGCUAAUACCGGAUAGGAGCUCCUGCUGCAUGGUGGGGGUUGGAAAGUUUCGGCGGUUGGGGAUGGACUCGCGGCUUAUCAGCUUGUUGGUGGGGUAGUGGCUUACCAAGGCUUUGACGGGUAGCCGGCCUGAGAGGGUGACCGGCCACAUUGGGACUGAGAUACGGCACAGACUCCAACGGGAGGCAGCAGUGGGGAAUAUUGCACAAUGGGCGGAAGCCUGAUGCAGCAACGCCGCGUGCGGGAUGACGGCCUUCGGGUUGUAAACCGCUUCCGCCUGUGACGAAGCGUGAGUGACGGUAAUGGGUAAAGAAGCACCGGCUAACUACGUG
Molecule: ribosomal RNA, 467 nt
Filed under: uncultured bacterium
Lineage: Bacteria
Description: partial 16S ribosomal RNA
Rfam family: Bacterial small subunit ribosomal RNA
Source: RNAcentral